RNAcentral lists this long non-coding RNA (386 nucleotides) under Capra hircus (goat). RNAcentral describes it as "lncRNA (ENSCHIG00010018674.1)". Lineage: Eukaryota; Metazoa; Chordata; Mammalia; Artiodactyla; Bovidae. The record is from RNAcentral.
CUGGAAGAGGUGACACGCACCCAUUUGGUUACAUUUUUUGUGUUUCUUCUGCACAUAACGCAUUCCACUGUCUGUGCUUGUCGUGGUGUGUUUACAUUCCCAAAGCCCCACUGGAAAAUGCAUUUCGUGGGUAGAGGACAUCUCCCUAUCUCUUCCGUACCUGUGAAUGUACAGGGUAGGGGAUGAGAAAGACCGACAGAGAAAGGAAGAGUGAAAAAGAGAGGCUGAAAUAGACGAUGGACGAGGUGUGGAUGUGGAGAUACAGUCAGAACAAAAGAGACUGUCUUCUCAAGACCAGUCUUUGCCUGAGGAAGAAACCUAGAAGAGGAGGAAGAAGAAAGAACAGGAGUCAGGCAUGGCUCUUUCUCAGGUAAGGUCAUAUUCUC